AGGGCACCACCAGGGGGGGAGCCUGGGGCUUAAUUUGACUCAACACGGGAAAACUUACCCGGCCCGGACACUGGAGGGAUUGACAGAUUGAGAGCUCUUUCUUGAUUCAGGGGGGGGGGGUGCAUGGCCGUUCUUAGUUGGUGGAGCGAUUUGUCUGGUUAGUUCCGAUAACGAACGAGACUCUAGCCUACUAAAUAGACCAGUGGCUUCCUAAAACACGUCACUGGCCGCUUCUUAGAGGGACAGGCGGCGGUUCAGCCGCGCGAAACAGAGGAAUAUCAGGUCUGUGUUGUCCUUAGAUGUCCGGGGCCGCACGCGCGCUACACUGAAGUGAUCAGCGUGCUUGAGUGAACCUGGUCGGCCACGACUGGAUAACCCAAUGAACCUUCUUCGUGAUUGGGAUAGGGGAUUGUAAUUAUUCCCCUUGAACGAGGAAUUCCCAGUAAGCGCGAGUCAUAAGCUCGCGUUGAUUACGUCCCCGCCCUUUGUACACACCGCCCGUCGCUACUACCGAUUGAA
This 519-nucleotide ribosomal RNA is filed under the name uncultured eukaryote. RNAcentral describes it as "SSU rRNA". It matches the Rfam family "Eukaryotic small subunit ribosomal RNA", at positions 1161 to 1693 of the family's 1831-position model. The record is from RNAcentral.